This 253-nucleotide ribosomal RNA is filed under the name uncultured bacterium. RNAcentral's name for it is "partial 16S ribosomal RNA". It matches the Rfam family "Bacterial small subunit ribosomal RNA", at positions 524 to 776 of the family's 1533-position model. The record is from RNAcentral.
UACGGAGGAUCCGAGCGUUAUCCGGAUUUAUUGGGUUUAAAGGGUGCGUAGGCGGCUUGAUAAGUCAGAGGUGAAAGACGGUGGCUUAACCAUCGCAGUGCCUUUGAUACUGUUAAGCUUGAAUAUAGAUGAGGUAGGCGGAAUGUGACAAGUAGCGGUGAAAUGCAUAGAUAUGUCACAGAACACCGAUUGCGAAGGCAGCUUACUAAGGUAAUAUUGACGCUGAGGCACGAAAGCGUGGGGAUCAAACAGG